RNAcentral lists this ribosomal RNA (252 nucleotides) under uncultured bacterium. Its description in RNAcentral is "partial 16S ribosomal RNA". It matches the Rfam family "Bacterial small subunit ribosomal RNA", at positions 524 to 776 of the family's 1533-position model. The record is from RNAcentral.
UACGGAGGAUGCGAGCGUUAUCCGGAUUUAUUGGGUUUAAAGGGUGCGUAGGCGGGCUUUUAAGUCAGCGGUAAAAAUUCGGGGCUCAACCCCGUCCGGCCGUUGAAACUGGGGGCCUUGAGUGGGCGAGAAGAAGGCGGAAUGCGUGGUGUAGCGGUGAAAUGCAUAGAUAUCACGCAGAGCCCCGAUUGCGAAGGCAGCCUUCCGGCGCCCUACUGACGCUGAGGCACGAAAGUGCGGGGAUCGAACAGG